Long non-coding RNA from Cyprinus carpio carpio, 4264 nucleotides. The record is from Ensembl. NCBI's taxonomy places the organism in Eukaryota, Metazoa, Chordata, Actinopteri, Cypriniformes, Cyprinidae.
AUUUUGGGAGAGAGUGCUACCAGCAAAGACGGGGCAGGUGCAACUGCCACUUCAGAUCCUGAAGGUGAUGGAGAUGUACUGUAGACAUCUCUACAAUGGACCCUGAGCCAGAAGUGGUCCAUCGUGGAUCACAGUGCAACAUAAGAUGUUUACAUCGUUCAUUAGGUAGUUAGCUAAUAUCUAGCAUUCACCAUACAUGCCAUAUACAAUCACAAAUAAGGAUUACAUGUCAAAAUUUUUCAUGAUCUCCAUGGUUACUAUUUUGUAAUUUACACUUUUCAGACAUUAAACAUUAAAAAUGAUGAACUUCAUAAUGUUAGAAAAAUAUAUUUUGUACUGGGUUGCAUUAGAUUGUAUGUGUUGUUACUAAUGAAUGUACAAUGGUGAACAAUUAUUAAGAUGAAUCUCUUUCAUCUAAGCUGUUCAGGUAAAGCCUCAGAUGGUGGAUGUGGGGACUCAAACCGAAAGGUUUGAGCAUCGCAGAUCAACUCCACUGGCCAGUCCUGAACAAAGUGAUGAUGAAUGGUCAUUUUCUGAUAUCAUCAACCAUUCUGGUGAUAUGUCAUGGAGUCCAGGGGAGGAGAUGUUGAGCGGGUCCUAUGAGGAGGAACCAGAAGAGCUGGAAUCUCUCAGUGACCCAAAUGCUGUUGACAAGUUCAUUGUUUGCCAGAGGCAGUUGCUGUCCUUGUUCACGGUUUGCCCUACAUGCUGUGGGGAAACCCAGGGACACAUAAUGCACCCGGAAGGAACUUUCAUAAAAGUCAAGCAGGUAAUGUCUUAUUUGUCAACUGUCUGUGAGGAGCUGAAUUAUAGUCUGUGAAUGUACAGUAUGUGUAUUAAUUAUUUCUGUCUUAACUAUACAGGUAUUUCACUGCCUAAUUUUAAAGCUGCUUGAGUAUUGAAUCUUCUCUCAUCUUUCAGGCCUGCGGAACUUGAGGUUAUGAGCGUUACUGGCAAAACCAAGAGAAGGUGCAUCGAAACAUCCACUUCUCAGGUUGCAUGGCUACUCAGACAAUCAGGAUGCUGAAGCUGUUUGGACUGCAGUGCAUAAGUCCCGGCAAUUUUUCCGCCAUCAGCGCUAUUACACUAUCCCUACCAUUGUGCGGGCCUGGAGGAAUGAGCAGAGGGGGAUCAUCAGGGAGUUGAAGGAGACUGGGGUGGAUUGAUCCUGUCUGGUGACUGCAGGUAGAAUGGUCCAGCUCACGUCACUGAUGUAGAACAGGUCAGUGUGUUUUUGCAUUAACCUCUAAAUGUAACUGUUUUUGACGUUCUUAGAUCAGAUUCUCCUGGACACUGUGCCAAAUAUGGUAGCUACUCCUUGAUCGAGGAUCGAAUUAACAAGGUUUUGGAUGUUCAACUUGUCCAAGUAAGUUGAUGUCACAGAAUUCUUGUGUCUGAUUUAGUUACUGAUAUUACUGUAACUGUUCAGUAAUAAUCAGUUGGUUUUACAGAGCUCAGAAGUCCCAAGCAGCUCUUGGUGUGAGCUAGAGGGUCUAAAGCGGAGUAUGCAGUUCCUGAUGGACCAAGACAUGCAAGUGUCUGCUCUGAUAUAAGGCAGAAAUCGGCAGGUAAUGAUGCUAGGAGAGAUCUAAAGCUGAACAGCAUUGACAGGCACAGUAUCACUCAAAAUAAAUUCUAAAUUCUAUAAAAUCAGUUUGUUUUAGGCAACACAGUCUCACCCCUAUUCGUCACAUACUGCCGUUUGGUCAUUUCCCCCUCAUGUCCAUAAGCCGACGUUGAGGGUACCCCCUAUUCGUCGCUUGACAACGUAGAGGGUCGUCUGAUAGAUUUGAGUGCAAAUCCCUCAUCUUUGAAUUUUGACGAAAUGGGGUUAUCCAUCCAGCGGUUUGCCUGCGCUGGAAAGUAUGGUUUCAGGUGAUUGAUUUUAUGCUGCAAAUGUGUAUUUUGUAGUAGCGUGCGGCGCAAAUACUGUUAAAAUCAUUCAUUGGUGUGGUGACUAUACAUUUUCGUGGGGCAGAAACCGGUAUCACGACUUUUUCUGUCUCUUUUUUUAUAUAAUUUUGGGCUAACGUUACAUUAAAAUGACAUAUUUACAGGACUGUAUAUUUGCUGUAUGCUUAAUACAUGCCUUAAUUUAGGUGGGAUAUUUUAUAAUUUUCGAUCACAUACUGCUGUUUGGUCAUUUCCCCCUCACGUCCAUAAGCCGACGUUGAGGGUACCCCCUAUUCGUCGCUUGACAACGUAGAGGGUCGUCUGAUAGAUUUGAGUGCAAAUCCCUCAUCUUUGAAUUUUGACGAAAUGGGGUUAUCCAUCCAGCGGUUUGCCUGCGCUGGAAAGUAUGGUUUCAGGGGAUUAAUUUUAAUGCUGCAAAUUGUGUAUUUUGCAGUAGCGUGCAGCGCAUAUACUGUUACAGUCAUUCAUUGGUGCGGUGACUAUACAUUUUUGUGGGGCAGAAACCCUUGUCUAAAUCGGUAUCACGACUUUUUCUCUUUUUUAAUAUAAUUUAGGGCUACAUUAAAACGACAUAAUUGCACGACUGCAUAUUUGCUGUAGGCUUAAAACAUGCCUUAAUUUAGGUGGGAUAUUUUAUAAUUGUCGAUGGUAUUUCAAUUUGCAAUGGCUUAUAAUGAGCCUACAACUUUGCUUUUUUUGCGACAAAAAAAGAAUAGUCUACUUUUAUAGAUCUUUCAUCUCAAUACUGAUUAUGAAGUUGUGAAAAAUUAAAUAGCCUACUGCAGAAAUGUUUAUAUUGCUUAAUAUGGACAUAUCCUUUGGCAAAGAGAUGGAUGCAUUCUGGGAAGUGAUGUGUUUAAAUGUAAUGGCUACAUAUACCCGUGUUUCCUUCACUUAGACAUUUAUGCUGACCCUUUAAAAUUUUGAGCAAGGAUAUAAAAUAUUAAGACUGUACUUUUUCAUUAUGAUUGAUAUUUUGGCGCAAUUUUGUGCAACACGUCACUGUGUGCGACCAUCGCAGAAACCAUUGCCCAGCGCGAUUCCACCACGGUAAGUCGCUUACAACAGUCUAAUAAGCAAGAUAAAUGAAUAAGCAUUGACACGUCUAUACAUAUAUAUAGGCUAUACAUAUAUACACAACAUGUUUUUUUUUUCUUGGAAAUAAACUCAUAAUUUUAUUUUGGACGUGUAAAUGCUUAUUGAGGGGUUAUUGGGGGAUAUAUAUAUACAUAUAUAAAGUGUAUACAAGAACCCUGAUCAUGUUAUUCCUGUUUGUUUAUCCAUUUGAAUUAAGGCAGAACCAGGAUGUGUUCAAAAUAUCAAUAUUUUUAAAAUCAUUAAUUUUUAUAUGAUAUUGUGAUUGCAUGAAUGAACAAGAGCAGCAUUUACUUAACUUCUUAGCCUAGUAGUUAUUCAUAUUGUAAUAUGAGGUUUGGUGAUCUAUUAUUUUUUUAUUUGUUCUUCUCUUUCUCUGCAGGUUCCUUAAUCCCUGUCCUUUUAAAAAAACAGCACCUCAUUACAUCGGGAAAAAAAAGGCACUUUUAAGAGCCACAUUUGUUUUGUAUCUUGUUACUCUCUCUACUGUUGUAUUGUGUUCUCUCUCUCUCUUGCUGUCUUACUGUCUCUCCCUCCCCUCUGAGUGGGGUUUUUGUUUGUUUGUUUUGUCUUUUUUUGUCCCUGAGUGUUUAUAGUGUGUUUAUAUUUUGUGCCAUGUCUGAUCCUGAGAUGGACCGUCUCCUGAAUGAGAUGAGUGACCUUGUUGAUCAGGCUGAACAUCAAGCUCACCUCCAACAGCUCAUUAGCAUGCACCAGGAAGCAGAACCAUCCACCGGUCAGCCUUCCACCAGUAAUCCAUCCACCAGCCGGCCAUCAAAAAGCAAGCAAGAUGUUAGGUGGAUUAAGAGGGACAGUGAUGGAAACAUUAUUUACGGCAGGCCCAGAUCAUCCCGCAACCAAGCAGGUACAAUUUUUUUAACAUUAAUGUUAAAUAAAAAUGUAGACUCCAGAUCUAGUUUUGCAUCUUGGAAUGGUAUACAACAUGAUCAUAAGUCAUGGGUCUGAAUUAGAACAUAUCUGAGGUUAUUAUUACGUACCUGUGCCUAGCAUCAGGUAAAGUUUGUGUCAUUGAGUGUAAAAAAAGCAACAGCUUUUUUUGCUACAGCAGGUCCCAGUCACAGCCAGAGUCGAAAGACUGGUGUCUCUCAUAUCAGGGCUCCUGAAACCAGUGCGGAAAUGACCAGUGACUUUCCUUCCGUUACUGCAGGUGUGUUAUUUAUUUUGACUUCACUGGUUCAAAAACAGUAUGUUCAUUUAUUAUAAAAAUGGCCAUUGUUCAAUGCUAUUCUCUUUU